CCUAGGGGGGCAGCAGUGGGGAAUAUUGGGCAAUGGACGCAAGUCUGACCCAGCAACGCCGCGUGAAGGAAGAAGGCUUUCGGGUUGUAAACUUCUUUUAAGGGGGAAGAGCAGAAGACGGUACCCCUUGAAUAAGCCACGGCUAACUACGUGCCAGCAGCCGCGGUAAUACGUAGGUGGCAAGCGUUGUCCGGAUUUACUGGGUGUAAAGGGCGUGCAGCCGGAGAGGCAAGUCAGAUGUGAAAUCCGCGGGCUCAACUCGCGAACUGCAUUUGAAACUGCUUCCCUUGAGUAUCGGAGAGGUA
RNAcentral lists this ribosomal RNA (305 nucleotides) under uncultured bacterium. RNAcentral's name for it is "bacterial SSU rRNA". It matches the Rfam family "Bacterial small subunit ribosomal RNA", at positions 338 to 659 of the family's 1533-position model. The record is from RNAcentral.